This 488-nucleotide unclassified non-coding RNA is filed under the name Bombus terrestris (buff-tailed bumblebee). RNAcentral's name for it is "misc RNA ENSBTSG00005031906.1". The record is from RNAcentral. Lineage: Eukaryota; Metazoa; Arthropoda; Insecta; Hymenoptera; Apidae.
UCAAUCUCGAGCCGCGUCUCCUGUCUGCGACGUUUAUCCCCGUCGAUUCGAAGGGCCACCCUACCGGGUUCAAAGAAAACAUAUUUUCCAAAGGGCCUCCGGCUAAAAAUUAAUAUUCUUCUGCUGGCAAAUGUAACAGACUUCGAAAACGCAAUCACCGAUUCCAUUCCCAGUCAUUACAAACCAACGCGUAUCGAAAUUACAAAAAAAGGAGAACACACAGCGGUACGGUUCGCUUCGAAACGAAAAUAUCGAAAAAGAAAAAAGAAAAAAAAAGAGGGAAGGAUCGUAUCAAAGAGAUCCCCCUGUGUGCGAGUUCUAUCGAAUCAGCAGAAGGAAAAUAAACUUACAAUCAAAGAACAACAGCGACUGGUCGCUAACUUCGUUUCGUUAAGAACAAAGACGGAGAGACGGAAAAACAAAAGAGAAAAGAGGAAAAACGAUAAAGACGAUACGGCAAUCGUUGGGCUAAAGUAUCCUUCUCCUCG